Molecule: ribosomal RNA, 254 nt
Filed under: uncultured bacterium
Lineage: Bacteria
Description: partial 16S ribosomal RNA
Rfam family: Bacterial small subunit ribosomal RNA
Source: RNAcentral
UACAUGGGGUGCAAACGUUGCUCGGAAUUAUUGGGCGUAAAGCGCACGUAGGCGGUUCGUUAAGUCGGAUGUGAAAGCCCUCGGCUUAACUGAGGAAGUGCACCCGAAACUGGCGAGCUUGAGUACGAAAGAGGAUCGCGGAAUUCCCGGUGUAGAGGUGAAAUUCGUAGAUAUCGGGAGGAACACCGGUGGCGAAGGCGGCGAUCUGGGUCGAUACUGACGCUGAGGUGCGAAAGCGGUGGGGAGCAAACAGG